This 2904-nucleotide ribosomal RNA is filed under the name Escherichia coli. Its description in RNAcentral is "23S ribosomal RNA". It matches the Rfam family "Bacterial large subunit ribosomal RNA". The record is from RNAcentral. Lineage: Bacteria; Pseudomonadati; Pseudomonadota; Gammaproteobacteria; Enterobacterales; Enterobacteriaceae.
GGUUAAGCGACUAAGCGUACACGGUGGAUGCCCUGGCAGUCAGAGGCGAUGAAGGACGUGCUAAUCUGCGAUAAGCGUCGGUAAGGUGAUAUGAACCGUUAUAACCGGCGAUUUCCGAAUGGGGAAACCCAGUGUGUUUCGACACACUAUCAUUAACUGAAUCCAUAGGUUAAUGAGGCGAACCGGGGGAACUGAAACAUCUAAGUACCCCGAGGAAAAGAAAUCAACCGAGAUUCCCCCAGUAGCGGCGAGCGAACGGGGAGCAGCCCAGAGCCUGAAUCAGUGUGUGUGUUAGUGGAAGCGUCUGGAAAGGCGCGCGAUACAGGGUGACAGCCCCGUACACAAAAAUGCACAUGCUGUGAGCUCGAUGAGUAGGGCGGGACACGUGGUAUCCUGUCUGAAUAUGGGGGGACCAUCCUCCAAGGCUAAAUACUCCUGACUGACCGAUAGUGAACCAGUACCGUGAGGGAAAGGCGAAAAGAACCCCGGCGAGGGGAGUGAAAAAGAACCUGAAACCGUGUACGUACAAGCAGUGGGAGCACGCUUAGGCGUGUGACUGCGUACCUUUUGUAUAAUGGGUCAGCGACUUAUAUUCUGUAGCAAGGUUAACCGAAUAGGGGAGCCGAAGGGAAACCGAGUCUUAACUGGGCGUUAAGUUGCAGGGUAUAGACCCGAAACCCGGUGAUCUAGCCAUGGGCAGGUUGAAGGUUGGGUAACACUAACUGGAGGACCGAACCGACUAAUGUUGAAAAAUUAGCGGAUGACUUGUGGCUGGGGGUGAAAGGCCAAUCAAACCGGGAGAUAGCUGGUUCUCCCCGAAAGCUAUUUAGGUAGCGCCUCGUGAAUUCAUCUCCGGGGGUAGAGCACUGUUUCGGCAAGGGGGUCAUCCCGACUUACCAACCCGAUGCAAACUGCGAAUACCGGAGAAUGUUAUCACGGGAGACACACGGCGGGUGCUAACGUCCGUCGUGAAGAGGGAAACAACCCAGACCGCCAGCUAAGGUCCCAAAGUCAUGGUUAAGUGGGAAACGAUGUGGGAAGGCCCAGACAGCCAGGAUGUUGGCUUAGAAGCAGCCAUCAUUUAAAGAAAGCGUAAUAGCUCACUGGUCGAGUCGGCCUGCGCGGAAGAUGUAACGGGGCUAAACCAUGCACCGAAGCUGCGGCAGCGACGCUUAUGCGUUGUUGGGUAGGGGAGCGUUCUGUAAGCCUGCGAAGGUGUGCUGUGAGGCAUGCUGGAGGUAUCAGAAGUGCGAAUGCUGACAUAAGUAACGAUAAAGCGGGUGAAAAGCCCGCUCGCCGGAAGACCAAGGGUUCCUGUCCAACGUUAAUCGGGGCAGGGUGAGUCGACCCCUAAGGCGAGGCCGAAAGGCGUAGUCGAUGGGAAACAGGUUAAUAUUCCUGUACUUGGUGUUACUGCGAAGGGGGGACGGAGAAGGCUAUGUUGGCCGGGCGACGGUUGUCCCGGUUUAAGCGUGUAGGCUGGUUUUCCAGGCAAAUCCGGAAAAUCAAGGCUGAGGCGUGAUGACGAGGCACUACGGUGCUGAAGCAACAAAUGCCCUGCUUCCAGGAAAAGCCUCUAAGCAUCAGGUAACAUCAAAUCGUACCCCAAACCGACACAGGUGGUCAGGUAGAGAAUACCAAGGCGCUUGAGAGAACUCGGGUGAAGGAACUAGGCAAAAUGGUGCCGUAACUUCGGGAGAAGGCACGCUGAUAUGUAGGUGAAGUCCCUUGCGGAUGGAGCUGAAAUCAGUCGAAGAUACCAGCUGGCUGCAACUGUUUAUUAAAAACACAGCACUGUGCAAACACGAAAGUGGACGUAUACGGUGUGACGCCUGCCCGGUGCCGGAAGGUUAAUUGAUGGGGUCAGCGCAAGCGAAGCUCUUGAUCGAAGCCCCGGUAAACGGCGGCCGUAACUAUAACGGUCCUAAGGUAGCGAAAUUCCUUGUCGGGUAAGUUCCGACCUGCACGAAUGGCGUAAUGAUGGCCAGGCUGUCUCCACCCGAGACUCAGUGAAAUUGAACUCGCUGUGAAGAUGCAGUGUACCCGCGGCAAGACGGAAAGACCCCGUGAACCUUUACUAUAGCUUGACACUGAACAUUGAGCCUUGAUGUGUAGGAUAGGUGGGAGGCUUUGAAGUGUGGACGCCAGCCUGCAUGGAGCCGACCUUGAAAUACCACCCUUUAAUGUUUGAUGUUCUAACGUUGACCCGUAAUCCGGGUUGCGGACAGUGUCUGGUGGGUAGUUUGACUGGGGCGGUCUCCUCCUAAAGAGUAACGGAGGAGCACGAAGGUUGGCUAAUCCUGGUCGGACAUCAGGAGGUUAGUGCAAUGGCAUAAGCCAGCUUGACUGCGAGCGUGACGGCGCGAGCAGGUGCGAAAGCAGGUCAUAGUGAUCCGGUGGUUCUGAAUGGAAGGGCCAUCGCUCAACGGAUAAAAGGUACUCCGGGGAUAACAGGCUGAUACCGCCCAAGAGUUCAUAUCGACGGCGGUGUUUGGCACCUCGAUGUCGGCUCAUCACAUCCUGGGGCUGAAGUAGGUCCCAAGGGUAUGGCUGUUCGCCAUUUAAAGUGGUACGCGAGCUGGGUUUAGAACGUCGUGAGACAGUUCGGUCCCUAUCUGCCGUGGGCGCUGGAGAAUUGAGGGGGGCUGCUCCUAGUACGAGAGGACCGGAGUGGACGCAUCACUGGUGUUCGGGUUGUCAUGCCAAUGGCACUGCCCGGUAGCUAAAUGCGGAAGAGAUAAGUGCUGAAAGCAUCUAAGCACGAAACUUGCCCCGAGAUGAGUUCUCCCUGACUCCUUGAGAGUCCUGAAGGAACGUUGAAGACGACGACGUUGAUAGGCCGGGUGUGUAAGCGCAGCGAUGCGUUGAGCUAACCGGUACUAAUGAACCGUGAGGCUUAACCUU